GUCAGGAUGGCCGAGCGGUCUAAGGCGCCAGACUAAAGUUCUGGUCUUCGAUUGGAGGCGUGGGUUCGAAUUCCACUUCUGGCA
This is a non-coding RNA of Nematostella vectensis (starlet sea anemone), 84 nucleotides long. The record is from the annotation of a RefSeq genome assembly. Lineage: Eukaryota; Metazoa; Cnidaria; Anthozoa; Actiniaria; Edwardsiidae.